RNAcentral lists this ribosomal RNA (374 nucleotides) under uncultured organism. Its description in RNAcentral is "partial 16S ribosomal RNA". It matches the Rfam family "Bacterial small subunit ribosomal RNA", at positions 527 to 897 of the family's 1533-position model. The record is from RNAcentral.
GUAGGUGGCAAGCGUUGUCCGGAAUUAUUGGGCGUAAAGCGCGCGCAGGCGGUCCUUUAAGUCUGAUGUGAAAGCCCACGGGCUCAACCGUGGAGGGUCAUUGGAAACUGGGGGACUUGAGUACAGAAGAGGAAAGCGGAAUUCCAAGUGUAGCGGUGAAAUGCGUAGAGAUUUGGAGGAACACCAAUGGCGAAGGCGGCUUUCUGGUCUGUAACUGACGCUGAGGCGCGAAAGCGUGGGGAGCAAACAGGAUUAGAUACCCUGGUAGUCCACGCCGUAAACGAUGAGUGCUAAGUGUUAGGGGGUUUCCGCCCCUUAGUGCUGCAGCUAACGCAUUAAGCACUCCGCCUGGGGAGUACGGCCGCAAAGGCUGA